Molecule: unclassified non-coding RNA, 24 nt
Filed under: Mus musculus (house mouse)
Lineage: Eukaryota; Metazoa; Chordata; Mammalia; Rodentia; Muridae
Description: oocyte_clustered_small_RNA1451
Source: RNAcentral
UAGCAAGUGCCAGCAGCGGGAAGA